RNAcentral lists this transfer RNA (71 nucleotides) under Intestinozyma alai. Its description in RNAcentral is "Candida alai tRNA-Ile". It matches the Rfam family "tRNA". From Rfam's summary of the family: Transfer RNA (tRNA) molecules are approximately 80 nucleotides in length. Their secondary structure includes four short double-helical elements and three loops (D, anti-codon, and T loops). Lineage: Eukaryota; Fungi; Ascomycota; Pichiomycetes; Serinales; Debaryomycetaceae. The record is from RNAcentral.
UAAUCUAUAUCUUAAAGGUAAAGAGUUUGAUUGAUAAUCAAAAGAUAUAAGUUCGAUUCUUAUUAGAUUAA